This 69-nucleotide non-coding RNA is filed under the name Ramlibacter tataouinensis. Its description in RNAcentral is "SAH sequence". It matches the Rfam family "SAH (S-adenosyl-L-homocysteine) riboswitch aptamer". Lineage: Bacteria; Pseudomonadati; Pseudomonadota; Betaproteobacteria; Burkholderiales; Comamonadaceae. The record is from RNAcentral. RNAcentral also lists the same sequence under 1 other name.
CGAUCCGAGGAGCGUUGCAGCACCGCACGGUGUGAGGCUCGGAACCUACAGCAACGACGCUCACCCACU